Molecule: transfer RNA, 72 nt
Filed under: Nitrosomonas aestuarii
Lineage: Bacteria; Pseudomonadati; Pseudomonadota; Betaproteobacteria; Nitrosomonadales; Nitrosomonadaceae
Description: tRNA_Asn_GTT
Rfam family: tRNA
About the family: Transfer RNA (tRNA) molecules are approximately 80 nucleotides in length.
Source: RNAcentral
UCCCAUAAGAAUCCAUUGACGGAUAACGGACUGUUAAUCCGCAGGUCCCAGGUUCGAGCCCUGGUCAGGGAG